RNAcentral lists this ribosomal RNA (460 nucleotides) under uncultured bacterium. RNAcentral describes it as "partial 16S ribosomal RNA". It matches the Rfam family "Bacterial small subunit ribosomal RNA", at positions 338 to 795 of the family's 1533-position model. The record is from RNAcentral.
CCUACGGGAGGCAGCAGUGAGGAAUAUUGGUCAAUGGUCGCGAGCCUGAACCAGCCAAGUAGCGUGAAGGAUGACUGCCCUACGUGUUGUAAACUUCUUUUAUCAAGGAAUAAAGUGAGGCACGUGUGCCUGUUUGUAUGUACUUUAUGAAUAAGGAUCGGCUAACUCCGUGCCAGCAGCCGCGGUAAUACGGAGGAUCCGAGCGUUAUCCGGAUUUAUUGGGUUUAAAGGGAGCGUAGAAGGGUUGGUAAGUCAGUUGGUAAAGGUUGCGGCUCAACCCUGACAUUGGAAUUGAAACUGGCAGGCUUGAGUGCAGGUGAGGGAUGUGGAAGUCGGGGUGUAGCGGGGAAAUGCUUAGAUAUCACGAAGAACUCCGAUUGCGAAGGCAGCAUAAUGAAACGCCACUGACACUGAAGCUCGAAAGUGCGGGUAUCAAACAGGAUUAGAUACCCGUGUAGUC